RNAcentral lists this small RNA (3239 nucleotides) under Pongo abelii (Sumatran orangutan). Its description in RNAcentral is "retained intron". Lineage: Eukaryota; Metazoa; Chordata; Mammalia; Primates; Hominidae. The record is from RNAcentral.
AGUUGCCUGAGGACAGCAGUGCAGUUGACAUGGAUAUUCUCUUUCCUCUGGACGGUGUUAUUGAGACAGAGCUGUGCUCCAGCCCCGUUCCCCAGAUCAUCCAUUUCAUCCUCUUCAUUGUGUUUAGCCUGGUGAUCCUGAUCAUCUUACGCCCCUACAUUCCCAGGGAGCCGUCCUCAGUGCCUCCCAGAGAGGAGAAUAGCGAGAAUGUAAGGAGCCCUCAGCCCACACCCAGCGGAGAAUGAUUCUAUUUUUCCUGCUCUCUUUUCCACUUUUCCACAUCAACCAGAGGCACUCCUGUGAUGGGAAAUCUCAUCGUCCCUCUAGGGACAGCCGGACAGGCAUGGGUUGGAGUGGGCAUAGGAUUUCCAUCCCAAGCUCCCAGACCAUCUGUGGGGGUGCACGGGAGGCAUCAGAGCAAAAACAAACCCCAGGACUCAGCGGCGAGGACCCAGUCAUGAGAAGGGUGAGGUCUCUGUGGAAGGACAGGCCCUGAGCCCGGGCUCAUCAGCCGCCUUCCUGGGCAGGUGCCUCGGGGCCCAGCCUCUAUGUGGGGUGCUCUGGGGGCUGUGCUGAGCCCCUGAGCGCCUCCCACCUGAGACUGGAGUUGCCUCUGGCCUCCUCGGAAGCAGAAUCCUCCCUGCCAGCCCAGAGACACCUGCAGACCCAAGUGUGUGUGUUUCCCAAGCAGUGGAACAGGGACUGAGGACGCCCAGGGCAGGCCUCACAUAGAAAACCCCUCCGUGCUUUUCAAAGAAGGAAACCAGAAAAGGUUAUUAUGCACUUUUGAAACCAGUGAAAGAGAAUCACACAGGGCUCCGUGAGCUGGUCGGAUAAAGUGUGUCAUUCAUGAGCACUGUGGGUCUGCAGCUGUGGGGACAGGAGACUGAGACCCGGCCUGUAUCCUCUUUCUUGUCUCUCAGGAUCAAGCUGAAGUGGGGGAAUGGCUCAGCAUCGGAAAUAAAUCUAUCACUUUGAAAGGUAAGGCUCUGAGGGUCCCAGAAGCCCCAGAGACGACAGCUUCACCUGUCCCUAGGAACAAGCACCAAGUCUCCUAGGAAGUCAUCUGCAGAGGCCUGAUGGGAAAACUUCUGGUAGGGCAAUUGGAACCCGGGAUCCGUCUCUGAUUCCCUGCUGGGAUGAAGCCAUGGGGUCCAGGGAGCGGGUGUUGCCCAGGAGGGGACCAGUGACCACCUGGACUUGCAGGAGGGGCUGCAGGUCUAUGUGGGCACCUGUUUAACAUGGCUGAGUCCUCUUUGAGACUGCCCCUGUCCACUCUUCCCAGGAGGUGGUCGUGACCCCCCAUGAUGGGGCGUGUCAGGAAGCACUUUGGAGAUGACAAAGUGCUGCCCACUGGGCACCUGCCUAUCACUCCUGGGGCCCUGUGGCCUUGGACAGGGAUGCUGGGGCUCCAGGGUCUAAUCCCCGAUCCCGGGGUCUCCCCUAAGGACACACACACUCAGCCUCCUGUAAGUCCCAGUUCCCUCCCUCGCCACCAUAACCCAUCUCCUGUUUUCCAGAUUACAGAAUUCUCUUGAAAGAACUGGAGAACCUUGAGGUCUACACUUUCCUGUCGAAAAAGUGCCUGAAGAAGCUCUCUAGGGCAGGCAGCUCCCAACACCUUCCACACCAAGUCCGCCCAGGGCCAGUGUACAAACGAGCAUCUGCUAGGAAGCACCGGCCACGUGGGGUGCGUGGGAAAGCUUCUCCCACCAGCUUCCAUGUGUCCCCACGGGCUCCCCCGGCUCCUCUGGCCUCCAUGCCGACAUCAGUCCCGAAGACCUCCGUAGAGUCCUUGGGGUAUCUGUCAUCCCUGAGCUCCUCCCAGGCAUCAGAGGCUUUGCGUCCCCUGAAGCACCCUUCACACCGGCCACCUGUGAGCACCCUAUCACCAAACCUGACCACCUCCGCAGAAUCCUUGGAGUAUCUGUCAUCCCUGAGCUCCUCCCAGCCACCAGAGCCUUUGCGUCCCCUGAAGCACCCUUCACACAAGCCACGUGGGCGUUCCCCUCCCCCACGACGGAAUCCUGGCUGGGUGUCCUGGACCGACUCCACACAGGCUGAUUCCGAAACUGACACCAUAAUAUGCCCAAUGUGCAAGGCCCCUGAGCACUCCUGUCUACACACCUGGUGGGUGCCUUCUAGCCCUCGAGUGAUCCGAGGCGUUGGUUGCCGCAGUGAUCCCGACCUGGUCCUCUCCUGGAGGCAGGAGGCUGCUAGAGCCUGGUGCCACUGCGCCUCCUCACAGUUCCCAUUCGAGCACCCUAAUCUUCCCACCCACCUACCAGAGGCUUCCUUCUAGGGAGACCCCACAUGCAGGCAGGUGGAGGCAGGGGUCCCACUUUCCUCAGCUUGGACGUCCCAACGCUGCUGGACGCACAAGACACCAAAAUCCCAGACACUCCCAUGGACUCCGCACAUCCGACAUCCACGAACAAUUGGGAAUCUCCUGAGGACAACUUGGAGGCGCAUCCCCCCAUCUGGGCACCCCACAGAUGCUGGAAAUGUGUGUUCUAAUGGAUUGGGAGAGACGGAGAUGGGGUCCAAACCUCCAGUCCCUGGAGCCCGUAAAUCUCCUUGGGAGGCUUGGCGCCCACAGAGACCUCUUCCACAGCGCUGCACACACAGAUCUUCCUUCCUAGAGGAUCUGAACUCACUUAGAAAACUGCCAACACAGGAGGGAUAACAUCAGCUGUGGCCCCCACUGGAGAACCCAGAGACUCUGGGUCAUUGUCAACAUUGCCCCCCAAAUGGGCUCUCUGCUGGGGAAGAUGCUCAGGAAUUGUUGCUCUUUUGCAAUGCCAGUCUCUCCUAACAGAACUGCAGAUUCCACGUGUAGACCUGCAAACUUCUGUUCUAUGCAGUUCCCUGAGUCACAGUUUAGACAAUCACAAUUUUUUUUAGAUGGAGUCUCACUCUGUUGCUCAGGCUGGAGUACAGUGGCACCAUCUUAGCUCACCACAACCUCCGCCUCCCGGAUUCAAGCCAUUCUCCUGCCUCAGCCUCCCGAGUAGCUGGGAUUACAGGCGCAUGCCACCGCACCCAGCUAAUUUUUGUAAUUUUAGUCGAGAGAGGGUGUCACCAUGUUGGCCAGGCUUGUCUUGAACUCCUGACCUUGAGAUAUCUGCCCGCCUUGGCCUCUCAAAGUGCUGGGAUUAUAGGCUUGAGCCACCACGCAUGGAUGAAUCACAAAUUGUAAACCUGAAUAAAAUGCUGCAACCUCCAAUGAGAGGAAAAUA